This 653-nucleotide long non-coding RNA is filed under the name Helianthus annuus (common sunflower). Its description in RNAcentral is "hypothetical non coding rna". Lineage: Eukaryota; Viridiplantae; Streptophyta; Magnoliopsida; Asterales; Asteraceae. The record is from RNAcentral.
UUCUCUCUCCAGGAAACCCAAAUCAAUAUCGAUGCAUCAUCCUCUCGAUCUCUCGUCUCCCCACUAUCAAUUGUUGUGGGGAUUUGAUUGUUCCCUCGAUGAGUAAAUCAUUGUUGGUUGCGAACCUGUUUAUUGAAACCAGAUGAAAUUGGGUAAAAUCGAUAAUGGUUGUUAUAGUUUCUUCGAAGUCAGUAGGCUAAUUGCCCUGUUUCAUGUUCAAUGUUGCCGUUAUUGUUAUUUGCCACCAAGUCCAAUCAAAAUCAGGUUGUUAAAACCCUGGAAAUUGUUCAAUCGAAUUAAGGAAUCUGAUUGAAUUAUUGUUUACUGGGUCUAAGCUGCCUCUUAAAUGGGUCAAAAUUGUCUCAGAAAGUGGCUGCCUAUCAGGAAGUGAAGUAAAAGGCGACUAAUCAUAGAGAAAAAUCGAUGCUGGAGAAGUUUGGAUUUAAAUAUCCCAGCAGUGCCUUUAUAUUGGAAUAAAAUGGCAGGUGGCAUCAUGGAAGCAUCUUGAUGUGGUUUCAAAAUUGAGUCCGUUUCCUGGGAUGAAGCAUCUUGAUGUGGCUGGCGGGACAGGUGAUGUUGCUUUCAGGAUUCUGGAAACUAUUAAUAGUGUUAAUCGCAGGGCCAUGGAAUGCACAGUCAGAUGAUUUACGGGA